This 86-nucleotide transfer RNA is filed under the name bioreactor metagenome. Its description in RNAcentral is "tRNA-Leu". It matches the Rfam family "tRNA". From Rfam's summary of the family: Transfer RNA (tRNA) molecules are approximately 80 nucleotides in length. Their secondary structure includes four short double-helical elements and three loops (D, anti-codon, and T loops). The record is from RNAcentral.
GCUCUGGUGGUGGAAUUGGUAGACACGCAGGACUUAAAAUCCUGUGAGCAUUGCGCUCGUGCGGGUUCAAGUCCCGCCCGGAGUAC